CCAAGAAAGCCAUCACUGACGCCGCCAUGAUGGCGGAGGAGCUGAAGAAGGAGCAGGACACCAGCGCCCACCUGGAGCGGAUGAAGAAGAACAUGGAGCAGACGGUGAAGGACCUGCAGCACCGUCUGGACGAGGCUGAGCAGCUGGCGCUGAAGGGCGGCAAGAAGCAGAUCCAGAAACUGGAGGCCAGGGUACGUGAACUUGAAGGAGAGGUUGAGAAUGAACAGAAACGUAAUGCUGAGGCCGUUAAAGGGUUAAGGAAGCACGAAAGAAGAGUAAAGGAACUUACCUACCAGACCGAGGAGGACCGCAAGAACGUGCUGAGGCUGCAGGACCUGGUGGAUAAAUUACAGGCGAAGGUGAAAUCUUACAAGAGACAAGCAGAGGAGGCUGAGGAACAAUCCAACGUCAACCUGGCCAAGUUCCGCAAGCUGCAGCACGAGCUGGAGGAAGCCGAGGAGCGGGCAGACAUCGCCGAGUCCCAGGUCAACAAGCUGCGGGUGAAGAGCCGCGAGGUUCACACCAAAAUCAGUGCAGAGUAAACGCAUCUUGAGGAGGCCGCCAAGUGGCUGAAGGAAAGCACAGAAUGUGCUGCCUUGGGUCGCUUGCUGGGUCACUUGCCUCUCUGUGUUUACUUUUCUCCCACUGCUGACUGAAUAAAAACCACAACUCAUUGAUAAAUUAAA
Molecule: long non-coding RNA, 686 nt
Filed under: Rattus norvegicus (Norway rat)
Lineage: Eukaryota; Metazoa; Chordata; Mammalia; Rodentia; Muridae
Description: long non-coding RNA NONRATT004413
Source: RNAcentral